GCUCGGUAGCUUAGUUGGGAAAGCGCUCGUCUAGCAUACAAGAGUCCUGGGUUCAAAUCCCAGGCGAGCA
Molecule: non-coding RNA, 70 nt
Organism: Aedes aegypti (yellow fever mosquito)
Lineage: Eukaryota; Metazoa; Arthropoda; Insecta; Diptera; Culicidae
Source: Rfam